Molecule: unclassified non-coding RNA, 520 nt
Filed under: uncultured Glomus
Lineage: Eukaryota; Fungi; Glomeromycota; Glomeromycetes; Glomerales; Glomeraceae
Description: SSU rRNA
Rfam family: Eukaryotic small subunit ribosomal RNA
Source: RNAcentral
AGCAGCCGCGGUAAUUCCAGCUCCAAUAGCGUAUAUUAAAGUUGUUGCAGUUAAAAGCUCGUAGUUGAAUUUCGGGGUUAGUAGGUUGGUCAUGCCUCUGGUAUGUACUGGUCUCACUGAUUCCUCCUUCCUGAUGAACCUUAAUGCCAUUAAUUUGGUGUUUUGGGGAAUUUGGACUGUUACUUUGAAAAAUUAGAGUGUUUAAAGCAAGCUAACGCUUGAAUACAUUAGCAUGGAAUAAUGAAAUAGGACGUUCGAUCCUAUUUUGUUGGUUUCUAGGAUUGACGUAAUGAUUAAUAGGGAUAGUUGGGGGGCAUUAGUAUUCAAUUGUCAGAGGUGAAAUUCUUGGAUUUAUUGAAGACUAACUACUGCGAAAGCAUUUGCCAAGGAUGUUUUCAUUAAUCAAGAACGAAAGUUAGGGGAUCGAAGACGAUCAGAUACCGUCGUAGUCUUAACCAUAAACUAUGCCGACUAGGGAUCGGAUGAUGUUAAUUUUUAAUGUACUCAUUCGGCGCCUUAC